UUGUCCACUGCGAGGAGAAGUGGCUGGAUAGAAAGGAGUAGGUGAGAGUUGGGG
This 54-nucleotide non-coding RNA is filed under the name Palpitomonas bilix. The record is from RNAcentral.